AGUUAAAAAGCUCGUAGUUGGAUUUCUGUGGGGACGGGGCGGCCGGUCGCAACUUGCGACUCGAGCUAGCACUUUCCCCACAUCCUGCCGCGAACCGUGCUACCAUUAGUUUGGUGGCGCUGGGGAUCGGCUCGAUUACUUUGAGAAAAAUAGAGUGUUCAAAGCAGGCCACACGCCUUGAAUAAGUUAGCAUGGAAUAAUGACUAAGGACUUUGGUUCUUUUCGUUGGUGUUCGGGACUGAAGUAAUGAUUGAUAGGGACUGUUGGGGCGGUCUGUAUUCCAAAGCGAGAGGUGAAAUUCUUAGACCUUCGGAAGACAAACAGCCGCGAAAGCGUUCCGCAAGGAUGUUCCCUUUGAUCAAGAACGAAAGUUGGGGGAUCGAAGACGAUCAGAUACCGUCGUAGUCUCAACUAUAAACUAUACCAGCUAGGGAUCGGCCAACGUUUAAUUAUUCGACUUGGUCGGCACCUUAUGAGAAAUCAAAGCAUCUGGGUUCCGGGGGGAGUAUGGUCGCAAGGCUGAAACUUAAAGGAAUUGACGGAAGGGCACCACCAGCCGUGGAGCCUGUGGCUUAAUUUGACUCAACACGGGAAAACUUACCAGGUCCAGACAUAGUAAGGAUUGACAGAUUGAUAGCUCUUUCUUGAUUCUGUGGGUGGUGGUGCAUGGCCGUUCUUAGUUGGUGGAGUGAU
RNAcentral lists this ribosomal RNA (693 nucleotides) under uncultured marine eukaryote. RNAcentral describes it as "SSU rRNA". It matches the Rfam family "Eukaryotic small subunit ribosomal RNA", at positions 617 to 1310 of the family's 1831-position model. The record is from RNAcentral.